GAUGAACGCUGGCGGCGUGCUUAACACAUGCAAGUCGAACGGAAAGGCCCUGCUUUUGUGGGGUGCUCGAGUGGCGAACGGGUGAGUAACACGUGAGUAACCUGCCCUUGACUUUGGGAUAACUCCAGGAAACUGGGGCUAAUACCGGAUAGGAGCUCCUGCUGCAUGGUGGGGGUUGGAAAGUUUCGGCGGUGGGGGAUGGACUCGCGGCUUAUCAGCUUGUUGGUGGGGUAGUGGCUUACCAAGGCUUGGACGGGUAGCCGGCCUGAGAGGGUGACCGGCCACAUUGGGACUGAGAUACGGCCCAGACUCCUACGGGAGGCAGCAGUGGGGAAUAUUGCACAAUGGGCGGAAGCCUGAUGCAGCAACGCCGCGUGCGGGAUGACGGCCUUCGGGUUGUAAACCGCUUUCGCCUGUGACGAAGCGUGAGUGACGGUAAUGGGUAAAGAAGCACCGGCUAACUACGUG
Molecule: ribosomal RNA, 468 nt
Filed under: uncultured bacterium
Lineage: Bacteria
Description: partial 16S ribosomal RNA
Rfam family: Bacterial small subunit ribosomal RNA
Source: RNAcentral